RNAcentral lists this transfer RNA (87 nucleotides) under Pararhodospirillum photometricum DSM 122. RNAcentral's name for it is "tRNA-Leu". Lineage: Bacteria; Pseudomonadati; Pseudomonadota; Alphaproteobacteria; Rhodospirillales; Rhodospirillaceae. The record is from RNAcentral.
GCCAUGCUCGGUGUCGGGGAGCGUGACAGAGUAGGGGGAAAGAACAGGCUGGGGAGGCUCGCCUCCCCAGACCCCUCCUUUUUUGGA